AUGUCAGCCGCCGCGGUAAUACGGAGGGUGCGAGCGUUAAUCGGAAUUACUGGGCGUAAAGCGCGCGUAGGUGGCUUGUUAAGUCGGUUGUGAAAGCCCCGGGCUUAACCUGGGAAUUGCAGUCGAUACUGGCAAGCUAGAGUGUAGUAGAGGGAAGCGGAAUUCCAGGUGUAGCGGCGAAAUGCGUAGAUAUCUGGAGGAACACCAGUGGCGAAGGCGGCUUCCUGGACUAACACUGACACUGAGGUGCGAAAGCGUGGGUAGCAAACAGGAUUAGAUACCCUGGUAGUCCACGCCCUAAACGAUGAGAACUAGCCGUUGGAGGAACUAUAAUCCUUUAGUGGCGCAGCCAACGCGUUAAGUUCUCCGCCUGGGGAGUACGGCCGCAAGGUUAAAACUUAAAGGAAUUGACGGGG
RNAcentral lists this ribosomal RNA (416 nucleotides) under uncultured prokaryote. RNAcentral's name for it is "bacterial SSU rRNA". It matches the Rfam family "Bacterial small subunit ribosomal RNA", at positions 505 to 918 of the family's 1533-position model. The record is from RNAcentral.